UACGGAGGGGGCUAGCGUUGUUCGGAAUUACUGGGCGUAAAGCGCACGUAGGCGGCUUUGUAAGUUAGAGGUGAAAGCCCAGGGCUCAACCCUGGAAUUGCCUUUAAGACUGCAUCGCUUGAACAUCGGAGAGGUAAGUGGAAUUCCGAGUGUAGAGGUGAAAUUCGUAGAUAUUCGGAAGAACACCAGUGGCGAAGGCGACUCACUGGACGACUGUUGACGCUGAGGUGCGAAAGCGUGGGGAGCAAACAGG
This 253-nucleotide ribosomal RNA is filed under the name uncultured bacterium. RNAcentral's name for it is "partial 16S ribosomal RNA". It matches the Rfam family "Bacterial small subunit ribosomal RNA", at positions 524 to 776 of the family's 1533-position model. The record is from RNAcentral.